AUUACUUAAAAAAUUCUGAAAUUAAACCUAUUUGUAAAGUUUCAUAACGUUUUGGGCCAUACUAUAGUUUUUAUAAAGUUUUGGGGUCAAACUAAAAAUAUGAAAAAAAUUUCACUGUAGCAGGUUACUGUAACAAGCGGCUUACCGGAUACUGAUAAACGGCAAACCGAUUUCGGGGCAGCAAGCACCCAGAACGAAAACGGCUUACCGGAUUCCGAAUCCGGCAAGCCGGUUAGGCAAAAUUUUGAAUUUUGCCUUAACGGUAACAUAAAUCCGGCUUACCGGAUUCCAUAAAACGGCAAACCGGAUAGCCCAGAAUGUGAGUAACGGCUAGUUUUCGAGCUCAAGCUAUAAGAACUCAAAUCCAACUCAUUUUGAAGCUCUCCAACAAGCAAAAACAAAAAGCACACGUGAUAUCUUGAGCCUUCAACUUGUCAAACACAAAACAUUGAAUCAUUCAUUGUUCUUCAUCAUUGUAUAUCUACUCAUUGAGUGAGAUUUAUUGUAAUCUUCAUUUCUUCAUUUCAUUUGUAAGAAUUUGAGUGUGUGAAACACUUGAGUGAAGAGAUUGGGAGAUAAUCUCUUCGUUGUAAAGGUUUAUUGACACCUCGAAGUCAAUUGUAAUCAGUUGAAGCCUCGGAAAGGCUUGGAUAGUGAAAUCCUCAAGCUUGGAUUGCUUGGAGGCGUGGACGUAGGCGGGGAUUGCCGAACCACGUAAAAAUCCGUGUGUUUGUUUCUCUUCUUCCUUACUCUUUA
Molecule: long non-coding RNA, 756 nt
Filed under: Citrus x clementina
Lineage: Eukaryota; Viridiplantae; Streptophyta; Magnoliopsida; Sapindales; Rutaceae
Description: Citrus clementina (C. clementina) long non-coding RNA (CCLE_LNC005103)
Source: RNAcentral